UAUGGCGACCGGCGCACGGGUGAGUAACACGUAUCCAACCUGCCGAUGACUCGGGGAUAGCCUUUCGAAAGAAAGAUUAAUACCCGAUGGCAUAGUUCUUCCGCAUGGUAGAACUAUUAAAGAAUUUCGGUCAUCGAUGGGGAUGCGUUCCAUUAGGUUGUUGGCGGGGUAACGGCCCACCAAGCCUUCGAUGGAUAGGGGUUCUGAGAGGAAGGCCCCCCACAUUGGAACUGAGACACGGUCCAA
Molecule: ribosomal RNA, 246 nt
Filed under: uncultured bacterium
Lineage: Bacteria
Description: partial 16S ribosomal RNA
Rfam family: Bacterial small subunit ribosomal RNA
Source: RNAcentral